UACGUAGGUGACUAGCGUUGUCCGGAAUCACUGGGCGUAAAGGGCGCGUAGGCGGCGCGAGUAGUCAACGGUGAAAGCCCGGGGCUCAACCCCGGGUCGGCCGUCGAUACUCUCGUGCUUGAGCACUGUAGAGGCAGGUGGAAUUCCGGGUGUAGUGGUGAAAUGCGUAGAGAUCCGGAGGAACACCAGUGGCGAAGGCGACACGCUGGGCCGUACCUGACGCUAAAACGCGACAGCAUGGGGAGCGAACGGG
This 253-nucleotide ribosomal RNA is filed under the name uncultured bacterium. RNAcentral's name for it is "partial 16S ribosomal RNA". It matches the Rfam family "Bacterial small subunit ribosomal RNA", at positions 524 to 776 of the family's 1533-position model. The record is from RNAcentral.